GGGAGUGUCCCAGUAUGGUAAGAUUCUGGAACCUAGUUAAAAACCUACUGAGGCAGGUGUUUUCCAGGACCGUAGAAUUAGACCCCUGGGUAUACUUACUUAAUAGAUCGCUGGAGGGAUGGACCAGAACUGAACAAAAGCUUAUCCACAAGAUCACAUUACGCUAGGAAGGCGGUAGCAGCCUCUUGGCUGAAGCCAACCACCCCAGGC
Molecule: non-coding RNA, 210 nt
Organism: Pelobates cultripes (western spadefoot toad)
Lineage: Eukaryota; Metazoa; Chordata; Amphibia; Anura; Pelobatidae
Source: the annotation of a GenBank genome assembly